RNAcentral lists this ribosomal RNA (253 nucleotides) under uncultured bacterium. RNAcentral's name for it is "partial 16S ribosomal RNA". It matches the Rfam family "Bacterial small subunit ribosomal RNA", at positions 524 to 776 of the family's 1533-position model. The record is from RNAcentral.
UACAGAGGUCUCAAGCGUUGUUCGGAUUCAUUGGGCGUAAAGGGUGCGUAGGCGGCGCGGUAAGUCGGGUGUGAAAUCUCGGGGCUUAACUCCGAAACUGCAUUCGAUACUGCCGUGCUUGAGGACUGGAGAGGAGAUUGGAAUUCCCGGUGUAGCGGUGAAAUGUGUAGAGAUCGGGAGGAACACCGGUGGCGAAGGCGGGUCUCUGGGCAUCUCCUGACGCUGAGGCGCGAAAGCGUGGGGAGCAAACGGG